GAUGAACGCUGGCGGCGUGCUUAACACAUGCAAGUCGAACGAUGAAGCCCAGCUUGCUGGGUGGAUUAGUGGCGAACGGGUGAGUAACACGUGAGUAACCUGCCCUUAACUCUGGGAUAAGCCUUGGAAACUGGGUCUAAUACCGGAUAGGAGCGCCUACCGCAUGGUGGGUGUUGGAAAGAUUUAUCGGGUUUGGAUGGACUCGCGGCCUAUCAGCUUGUUGGUGGGGUAGUGGCUCACCAAGGCGACGACGGGUAGCCGGCCUGAGAGGGUGACCGGCCACACUGGGACUGAGACACGGCCCAGACUCCUACGGGAGGCAGCAGUGGGGAAUAUUGCACAAUGGGCGGAAGCCUGAUGCAGCGACGCCGCGUGAGGGAUGACGGCCUUCGGGUUGUAAACCUCUUUCGGUAGGGAAGAAGCGAAAGUGACGGUACCUGCAGAAGAAGCACCGGCUAACUACGUG
RNAcentral lists this ribosomal RNA (466 nucleotides) under uncultured bacterium. RNAcentral describes it as "partial 16S ribosomal RNA". It matches the Rfam family "Bacterial small subunit ribosomal RNA", at positions 28 to 507 of the family's 1533-position model. The record is from RNAcentral.